Molecule: long non-coding RNA, 638 nt
Filed under: Aedes aegypti (yellow fever mosquito)
Lineage: Eukaryota; Metazoa; Arthropoda; Insecta; Diptera; Culicidae
Description: lncRNA AAEL023568
Source: RNAcentral
AGAAGAAGAAGAAAAACUUCUGAAGCCACAACUGCAGUCUGAACAGCUUUUAACUCGACGGAAGCCGCUAUUGAAUUUUCUGAACAUAUUUUCGUCCGAUGGUAGGGGAAUCGUGUGGAUGCCCACUAGGGCAACGGAUGUUCAAGGGAUGAUUGCUGAUGAAGAGAUGAGGAAGUUCGGAAUAGACCAUUUCCGCCAGACCUAACAUACCUGUUUUGUAUUUUUUCUCGAAAGAUAAUAAUCUCAAACUAACAUUUCUUUUGGAUUUUUUUCUUUUUAUGCAUUCUUGAUUUUUUUAUGAAUUUUCAAAAAUUGGUCUUUUCACCACUUUUGGAGACAUGCGGAACGAAAAUGGUAACUCUAUGCGUGGUGAAAUUAAUUUUCACCAUGUCAAUAAAAUGUCAAAAACUGCCAACGCUGAUAACCCUAUGCUCAGCUGAUAUUUACGUUUUGAAACGUCAAACAGUUCGGAGUUACAACAGUCGAUUUCGUUGGGGCAUUUUUUCUCUAAGCCAUCGGAAAUUGAUUAAACAGCAUAUCACGUCGGAAGGGAAACGCUAAAAAUGAGUGUUGAAGAUUACAGCUACCGCAUCACCAAGAAGACGGUGGCGUCAAUAGUGACCGCUACGCGGGCAUCG